Scylla paramamosain (green mud crab) is the source of this 569-nucleotide long non-coding RNA. RefSeq lists it as uncharacterized. The record is from RefSeq and is a predicted model, not a curated record. The transcript has 4 exons. NCBI's taxonomy places the organism in Eukaryota, Metazoa, Arthropoda, Malacostraca, Decapoda, Portunidae.
GGUCCCAUUGCACUGCAGUGAGACACUGCCUGUCCGCCGUCCUGCCUAGCACGUAACCCUGGCAGCUGCAGAGGGCAGCACAAUGCAGUACGUGCGUUACUGGCUGAGUAUAAACAAGAAUGUGGGAGACGUUGGAUAUCGACCUACUUAUGGUGAGAUGUAACAGUUCACUAGACCACCAAGGACACGCAGGAGAAGGAGCGUUGAGGAGACAGUCUGGGCUCAGCAGGACACGCACACAGCAUACACCGGCUUGCGGGCAAGGAAGACCAAGACGCACAGUUUCUCCUGACCAGCGCUGGUGGGUCUGGGAAGGCGACGCUCAGGCUGAAUGGCACAACUAUCCACCACACCAGGGCACCUUAUUGUCGCACAGUUCCUGCAUGGCCUGCCUAACACCACCACCACCACGUCAAUAACUGAGAGACACACAAGGGCUGGACCUUUGGACAUGCACCUUGGAUACACACCGCCCGCAGCCCGACACACAAAAUACUGCACAGAGAGGAAAAGUAAUUGCAUGAAAGAAGAAUAGAUAAAAUAAAAAAUGAAAAAGGUUUGUAUGUAAA